UGGGGAAUAUUGCACAAUGGGCGCAAGCCUGAUGCAGCCAUGCCGCGUGUAUGAAGAAGGCCUUCGGGCUGUAAAGUACUUUCAGCGGGGAGGAAGGUGUUGAGGCUAAUAACCUCAGCAAUUGACGUUACCCGCAGAAGAAGCACCGGCUAACUCCGUGCCAGCAGCCGCGGUAAUACGGAGGGUGCAAGCGUUAAUCGGAAUUACUGGGCGUAAAGCGCACGCAGGCGGUCUGUCAAGUCGGAUGUGAAAUCCCCGGGCUCAACCUGGGAACUGCAUUCGAAACUGGUAGGCUAGAGUCUUGUAGAGGGGGGUAGAAUUCCAGGUGUAGCGGUGAAAUGCGUAGAGAUCUGGAGGAAUACCGGUGGCGAAGGCGGCCCCCUGGACAAAGACUGACGCUCAGGUGCGAAAGCGUGGGGAGCAAACA
This 427-nucleotide ribosomal RNA is filed under the name uncultured bacterium. RNAcentral describes it as "partial 16S ribosomal RNA". It matches the Rfam family "Bacterial small subunit ribosomal RNA", at positions 355 to 774 of the family's 1533-position model. The record is from RNAcentral.